AUGAUACUCCCUCCGUCCCAAAAUUCUUGUCUUAGAUUUGUCUAGAUACAGAUGUAUCUAAUACUAAAACGUGACUUGAUACAUCCGUAUUUAGCCAAAUCUAAGACAAGAAUUUUAGGACGGAGGGUGUACUAA
Molecule: non-coding RNA, 135 nt
Organism: Triticum aestivum (bread wheat)
Lineage: Eukaryota; Viridiplantae; Streptophyta; Magnoliopsida; Poales; Poaceae
Source: Rfam